GAUGAACGCUAGCUACAGGCUUAACACAUGCAAGUCGAGGGGAAACGGCAUUAAGUGCUUGCACUUUUUGGACGUCGACCGGCGCACGGGUGAGUAACGCGUAUCCAACCUUCCCAUGACUAAGGGAUAACCUGCCGAAAGGCAGACUAAUACCUUAUGGUCUUCACUGACGGCAUCAGAUGUGAAGUAAAGAUUUAUCGGUUAUGGAUGGGGAUGCGUCUGAUUAGCUUGUUGGCGGGGUAACGGCCCACCAAGGCAACGAUCAGUAGGGGUUCUGAGAGGAAGGUCCCCCACAUUGGAACUGAGACACGGUCCAAACUCCUACGGGAGGCAGCAGUGAGGAAUAUUGGUCAAUGGGCGAGAGCCUGAACCAGCCAAGUAGCGUGCAGGAUGACGGCCCUAUGGGUUGUAAACUGCUUUUGUAUGGGGAUAAAGUCAAUCACGUGUGAUUGUUUGCAG
This 459-nucleotide ribosomal RNA is filed under the name Prevotella sp. oral taxon 298. RNAcentral's name for it is "bacterial SSU rRNA". It matches the Rfam family "Bacterial small subunit ribosomal RNA", at positions 28 to 474 of the family's 1533-position model. The record is from RNAcentral. Lineage: Bacteria; Pseudomonadati; Bacteroidota; Bacteroidia; Bacteroidales; Prevotellaceae.